Molecule: ribosomal RNA, 232 nt
Filed under: Clostridioides difficile
Lineage: Bacteria; Bacillati; Bacillota; Clostridia; Peptostreptococcales; Peptostreptococcaceae
Description: partial 23S ribosomal RNA
Rfam family: Bacterial large subunit ribosomal RNA
Source: RNAcentral
CCAAGCGACUGUUUACCAAAAACAUAGGUUUCUGCUAAGUCGCAAGACGAGGUAUAUGAGGUGACGACAGCCCGGUGCUGGAAGGGUAAGGUGUUCUGUUAGAGCAACAGAAGCAGUGAACUUAAGCCCCAGUACACGGCGGCCGUAACUAUAACGGUCCAAAGAUAGCGAAGUUCCUUGUCGGGUAAGUUCCGACCCGCACGAAAGGCGUAACGAUUUGGGCAGUGUCUCA